UUUACAAUUAAAAGUAACCUCGAAAAUAAAUUAAGAACAAAACCAUAAAAUCAUUUUAGUAAAAAUAAAAAUAAAAAUAUGUAGUAUAAAUCCAAAUAAAAGUUAUAAUUUAUUUUCAAUAUUUGUUUUCUUAAUUGCUUUAUCUCUCUCCUCGUUGUUUUGAUCAGAAGCCACCGGAUCUACCUUGCAACUCAUCGAACCACCGUUUCAAAACCUAAAGAAAAUCGCUUUCCCUCAUAAUCAAUUUAGCUUACUAGCUCUCGCUCUCUGAUUCACACAUCUCUCUGAUCUCCCCUAAUCCUUGGUUCUUGUUUUUGCGGUGUCUCUAAAGGCAAUCUCCAUAAUAGCAAGUGAAGCAAUGUUGCCAAUGAUGGCGUGGGUAAAAUGAGAGAAUCAUAUAUAGAAAAGGUUAUUUACAUGGAAGCAUUGGAGCUGAUAAAAGGUAAAUGAAUCAAUUUUAUGUUGCAAGUUAUUUCCAACAUCAUCGAGUCUAUGUAGGGUUGUUAAUCACCUCUUCAAUUUUGUGUUUGAAAUUUGAACUAUCUAUUUUAACAUUUCAGAGCAUUGUGGAAGUUUCCAUUCAUGUGUCGACAUCAAUAAGUCAGAAAGUUGUUGCAGUUCCUGUGGUUUUUAUGUUGCUUACAAAUUGUGCUAAGCUUGUAUUGUAUAACCAUAUUUCAUUACCUAUAUAUCCCUGACACUUCACUGUAGUGUUCGACAUAGCUGCAAUGUUUCAGUAUCAGAGUCAUUUUCGGUGUCCAUGUUUUCUAAGUUACCACUACUCGGACUUAUAACUGUGAAUGCGGAUUACUUUGCAGACAGUUUGGAAUUGGAGAGUAUAGUAAUCAGAGAAACUGUGAUUCUUGAACCAGAUUACACGAUUCCAGUUGAGUUUUUAUCGUACUUCCUUGUAUGAGAAGAUUCUUAAAUGUCCUAAAUUAUUGAUAACAUAAAAUUGUUCUAUCAGGUAAAGCUGGUGGGAUAUGAAGUUUAUUCAUAUUGAGUUGCUUAUUUAUAUUUUGUUCAAUGUGUUGUAUGAGAUGUACGAUAUGAAGUUUAUUCAUAUUGAGUUGCUUAUUUAUAUUUUGACUUAUAUAGUAGGAUAUGUGGUUGCAUGAUUGCAAAGAUUGUUGGAAUAGCUACUAAGUUAGCUGCAAGAGUAUAGAUGACAAGGUACACGUGACUUUUUUCUUCUUUUGGUGCAUUUAAUUUUGAACUUUAGUUAAAUCAUUGCUGAAUUUGGAAGUUUGUUGGCAGUAACUGCUCAUGCAAUUGGUUCUCAUGGAUACAAUUUUGGACGUAGCAAAUUGUUUAUGAUGUAUAAGUUUGAGCAAAAGCUACUUUUUGUUUGAAUUCAAAUAUUAGAUCAUAUAGGUUGGAUUUUUUCCCUCUAGCUUGGAGACAAGUUUAUUGCAUAGUAGUAUAAACUAUAAAGUUAUAAUAUGCUAUAACUUUACUUGGUAAUAUAGAGAAAAACAAACUUUUUGUCAUGUCUUGAAUUUGUAGUUUCACAUGGCCAAGUGCGAGAAUAAUAAUAUGUAUAGAGGGACUAAAAUUGGAGAAAUACUUAGUUAACACUUUCUUUAUUAUGAGAAAUAUUUGUGGAUAGUGUCAUAUUUAGUUUUGAAUAUCCGAAUGCAACUUCGGUAGUUUAACAUCAGUUCUGUUGCAGCAGGGUAAAUCAAGUCUCAAACUUUUUUUAAUCCUAUAUCUAGUUUUCCUAACUCAUUAACUCACAAGUCAAAGACUUGGAAUGAAAUUUCAAAACUCUAAAGGAGCCUAUGAUGGCUGCAAUUAUUUAAUAGCUAUUAGUUAUGGUAUAAAAAUCAUCUGAAAAUGUAAAAUUCGUUGGUGAAAAUUACUUGCAAGGAUGAUGAAAACCUAACACCACCCUUAAGGAGUGUUUUUAAUGAGUAAAAAAACAUAGUUAUAUGCAUACCAUGUCUUUGCAAAAGGUGCAUAAAAUGGAAGUGAAAAACUUGAAAGCUCAUAUCAUUUCACUUGGGGACAUUACAAUAGAACUUCUAACAGUGUAGAACUUAUGUCCUAUUAAAGGACUGGUUUAUAGGAAGUUGAAUCUAGAGAAAAAGAUAAACAUUUGGCAUGUUACAGAGUUCCGAUUGAGUUGAUAAAUAAGUGCAUACAAUUUUUAUGUAGGACCACUAUAUAGUUUUUGUCAAAGUUUAUUGCAUAAUUAGUUGUCAACUAUCAUAUUGAUAUGUAUCAUGCAAACUUGUUGCAGGAACUUAGUGAACAUUUAUCUGUCAGCACUUCUACAUCCGUGAUCAUUGACAAGAGUUCUGAUGGGGACUUUUUAUGCAUUGAUUUCAUUUUCAGGCUUGAGCAUGUUUGGCGGGUGAUAGUGCUGCUUUUCACAGGACAUCUUCAUUUGGAGACGAUGUAGUGAUUGUAGCAAACCGUGCUUGUUAGGACAGUUAACAGGCAAUGUUCAUCUGGGCUCCAAGCUGUUGUUGAUGUAGCUGCUGCUACAAGGGCUGGAUUUUAUGACAUUGGUAAAGGGUGGAUCAAUUUUUUUUGUAAUUCUUGACAUGGCGACAUGAUCUAUCGGUUGUUUCUUCCUGUUGGCUUUAUUUUAUCUUGUUUGUGCUCCAAGCUUUAAUGUCAAAGUGCAUGAUGGUCUCUGAUCAUAACUCUAGCUUUUGAAGCAUUAGGAUGGUGAACAUACUCUUCUUAGAAUAUUCUUUGAGAUGAGAAUAAAUAUGUAUC
Long non-coding RNA from Vicia villosa (hairy vetch), 2727 nucleotides. RefSeq lists it as uncharacterized. The record is from RefSeq and is a predicted model, not a curated record. Lineage: Eukaryota; Viridiplantae; Streptophyta; Magnoliopsida; Fabales; Fabaceae. The transcript has 5 exons.